RNAcentral lists this ribosomal RNA (932 nucleotides) under Salmonella enterica. Its description in RNAcentral is "partial 23S ribosomal RNA". It matches the Rfam family "Bacterial large subunit ribosomal RNA", at positions 1999 to 2925 of the family's 2925-position model. The record is from RNAcentral. Lineage: Bacteria; Pseudomonadati; Pseudomonadota; Gammaproteobacteria; Enterobacterales; Enterobacteriaceae.
GCGUAAUGAUGGCCAGGCUGUCUCCACCCGAGACUCAGUGAAAUUGAACUCGCUGUGAAGAUGCAGUGUACCCGCGGCAAGACGGAAAGACCCCGUGAACCUUUACUAUAGCUUGACACUGAACAUUGAGCCUUGAUGUGUAGGAUAGGUGGGAGGCUUUGAAGUGUGGACGCCAGUCUGCAUGGAGCCGGCCUUGAAAUACCACCCUUUAAUGUUUGAUGUUCUAACGUGGACCCGUGAUCCGGGUUGCGGACAGUGUCUGGUGGGUAGUUUGACUGGGGCGGUCUCCUCCUAAAGAGUAACGGAGGAGCACGAAGGUUGGCUAAUCCUGGUCGGACAUCAGGAGGUUAGUGCAAUGGCAUAAGCCAGCUUGACUGCGAGCGUGACGGCGCGAGCAGGUGCGAAAGCAGGUCAUAGUGAUCCGGUGGUUCUGAAUGGAAGGGCCAUCGCUCAACGGAUAAAAGGUACUCCGGGGAUAACAGGCUGAUACCGCCCAAGAGUUCAUAUCGACGGCGGUGUUUGGCACCUCGAUGUCGGCUCAUCACAUCCUGGGGCUGAAGUAGGUCCCAAGGGUAUGGCUGUUCGCCAUUUAAAGUGGUACGCGAGCUGGGUUUAGAACGUCGUGAGACAGUUCGGUCCCUAUCUGCCGUGGGCGCUGGAGAACUGAGGGGGGCUGCUCCUAGUACGAGAGGACCGGAGUGGACGCAUCACUGGUGUUCGGGUUGUCAUGCCAAUGGCACUGCCCGGUAGCUAAAUGCGGAAGAGAUAAGUGCUGAAAGCAUCUAAGCACGAAACUUGCCCCGAGAUGAGUUCUCCCUGAGACUUUAGGUCUCCUGAAGGAACGUUGAAGACGACGACGUUGAUAGGCCGGGUGUGUAAGCGCAGCGAUGCGUUGAGCUAACCGGUACUAAUGAACCGUGAGGCUUAACCUU